GAUGAACGCUGGCGGCGUGCCUAAUACAUGCAAGUCGAGCGAACGGACGAGAAGCUUGCUUCUCUGAUGUUAGCGGCGGACGGGUGAGUAACACGUGGAUAACCUACCUAUAAGACUGGGAUAACUUCGGGAAACCGGAGCUAAUACCGGAUGAUAUUUUGAACCGCAUGGUUCAAAAGUGAAAGACGGUCUUGCUGUCACUUAUAGAUGGAUCCGCGCUGCAUUAGCUAGUUGGUAAGGUAACGGCCUACCAAGGCAACGAUGCAUAGCCGACCUGAGAGGGUGAUCGGCCACACUGGAACUGAGACACGGUCCAGACUCCUACGGGAGGCAGCAGUAGGGAAUCUUCCGCAAUGGGCGAAAGCCUGACGGAGCAACGCCGCGUGAGUGAUGAAGGUCUUCGGAUCGUAAAACCCUGUUAUUAGGGAAGAACAUAUGUGUAAGUAACUGUGCACAUCUUGACGGUACCUAAUCAGAAAGCCACGGCUAACUACGUG
This 497-nucleotide ribosomal RNA is filed under the name uncultured bacterium. RNAcentral's name for it is "partial 16S ribosomal RNA". It matches the Rfam family "Bacterial small subunit ribosomal RNA", at positions 28 to 507 of the family's 1533-position model. The record is from RNAcentral.